Molecule: long non-coding RNA, 489 nt
Organism: Neltuma alba
Lineage: Eukaryota; Viridiplantae; Streptophyta; Magnoliopsida; Fabales; Fabaceae
Exons: 2
Source: RefSeq, a predicted model, not a curated record
CUAGGGGAAGAACGAGGAAGAAGAGGAGGUGAUUGAAGGAGACGAUCGGUUCAUUCAAAGGAGGAAAUCAAGCAAGGAUUUAAUAUUUGCCGAAAUCUAUUAAGAAAGGAGCCAAGAAGGAGACAAGGGGAAGGGAAUACAGAAGAAAAAGCAAAAGGUAGUAACUCUUUUCCUUUAAUGUGAUUGUGUAUUGAUUGCCACAUGCUUGGAUGUGCCUUUAUGUUGAUUGUGCAUGAGAACAUGUAAGUUGCCUUUGCAUGAUAAUAAUUGUCAUGACAAUAUGCGCUGGUUUCCAUUUAUUUUGGAAUGUGGGCGCAAUAGCUAGCGAUUGGCUAUAUGGGUGUAUGGUGUAUGUGCAUCAUUGAUUAUGUUUGGAUGCAAGGUGUUGUUCUCUUUGGCCUGUGUAGCAUGUUGUUUGUGAUCUUGUAUGAUUACGUGAAGGAAAUUUGUUACUACUGAGAUUCUUUAGAAUCUCACCCCUUCUUCCAU